UGGGGAAUAUUGCACAAUGGGGGAAACCCUGAUGCAGCGACGCCGCGUGAGUGAAGAAGUAUUUCGGUAUGUAAAGCUCUAUCAGCAGGGAAGAACAUGACGGUACCUGACUAAGAAGCCCCGGCUAACUACGUGCC
This 137-nucleotide ribosomal RNA is filed under the name uncultured bacterium. Its description in RNAcentral is "partial 16S ribosomal RNA". It matches the Rfam family "Bacterial small subunit ribosomal RNA", at positions 355 to 509 of the family's 1533-position model. The record is from RNAcentral.